This 417-nucleotide ribosomal RNA is filed under the name uncultured bacterium. Its description in RNAcentral is "partial 16S ribosomal RNA". It matches the Rfam family "Bacterial small subunit ribosomal RNA", at positions 355 to 762 of the family's 1533-position model. The record is from RNAcentral.
UAGGGAAUCUUCCACAAUGGACGCAAGUCUGAUGGAGCAACGCCGCGUGAGUGAAGAAGGUCUUCGGAUCGUAAAGCUCUGUUGUUGGUGAAGAAGGAUAGAGGCAGUAACUGGUCUUUAUUUGACGGUAAUCAACCAGAAAGUCACGGGCUAACUACGUGCCAGCAGCCGCGGUAAUACGUAGGUGGCAAGCGUUGUCCGGAUUUAUUGGGCGUAAAGCGAGCGCAGGCGGAAUGAUAAGUCUGAUGUGAAAGCCCACGGCUCAACCGUGGAACUGCAUCGGAAACUGUCAUUCUUGAGUGCAGAAGAGGAGAGUGGAACUCCAUGUGUAGCGGUGGAAUGCGUAGAUAUAUGGAAGAACACCAGUGGCGAAGGCGGCUCUCUGGUCUGCAAACUGACGCUGAGGCUCGAAAGCAU